GUACAAUCAAAUAGAGAUACCAGGUCCACUUCUGGCUCUCUUCAUCUUAGGCAGCUUCAACUAAGAAAAUAAUACUGCCUAACCGCUGCUGGAGCCAUUCCAUGAGAAACAAACUAUGUUGUUCCUAUCCAGGAACCCAGGCACUGGAUGCAUAAAGAAUCCGUCCCUUCCAUCCCUGCAGCAUCCAUUGGCCAUCUUGAUCUACCACGAAAUCUUCAUGGUACCGUGUCUUCACCCUACACUUCAAUUUGUUCAGGAGUUGAGGGUCCAAAGGAAGUUGUUUCAACCCAGCUCUCGCGUUUCGAAUCUGCCAUUGCUUGUAUGUCUCGGGUCUCUCUACCCUUCCCGAGCCCUCACAUGCUAUGACAUUCAAAGCUUCCCGACCAUAGAACUCUUUCUCAAACUUCAACCUCAUUUGAUCUUCACGAGGCAUAUUAGUAUCAAACAUAUCAAACAAUGCAGAGAAGUGGAAAAGAGCCUCCC
Molecule: unclassified non-coding RNA, 483 nt
Filed under: Hevea brasiliensis (rubber tree)
Lineage: Eukaryota; Viridiplantae; Streptophyta; Magnoliopsida; Malpighiales; Euphorbiaceae
Source: RNAcentral